GACGAACGCUGGCGGCGUGCUUAACACAUGCAAGUCGAACGGAAAGGCCCCUUUGGGGGUACUCGAGUGGCGAACGGGUGAGUAACACGUGAGUAACCUGCCCUUGACUUCGGGAUAACUUCAGGAAACUGGGGCUAAUACCGGAUAGGAAUCCUUGCUGCAUGGUGGGGGUUGGAAAGCUUCGGCGGUUUUGGAUGGACUCGCGGCUUAUCAGCUUGUUGGUGGGGUAGUGGCUUACCAAGGCUUUGACGGGUAGCCGGCCUGAGAGGGCGACCGGCCACAUUGGGACUGAGAUACGGCCCAGACUCCUACGGGAGGAAGAAGUGGGGAAUAUUGAACAAUGGGCGGAAGCCUGAUGCAGCAACGCCGCGUGCGGGAUGACGGCCUUAGGGUUGAAAACCGCUUUCAGCAGGGGCGAAGCUUGUGGUGACGGUACCUGCAGAAGAAGCACCGGCUAACUACGUG
RNAcentral lists this ribosomal RNA (465 nucleotides) under uncultured bacterium. RNAcentral's name for it is "partial 16S ribosomal RNA". It matches the Rfam family "Bacterial small subunit ribosomal RNA", at positions 28 to 507 of the family's 1533-position model. The record is from RNAcentral.